GACGAACGCUGGCGGCGUGCUUAACACAUGCAAGUCGAACGGAAAGGCCCUGCUUGCGGGGUGCUCGAGUGGCGAACGGGUGAGUAACACGUGGGUGAUCUGCCCCUUUUUUUGGGAUAAGCCUGGGAAACUGGGUCUAAUACUGGAUAGGACCAUGCUGUCGGUGGUGUGGUGGUAAGAUUAGUUUGGGUAUGGGAUGAGCUCGCGGCGUAUCAGCUUGUUGGUGGGGUAAAGGCCUACCAAGGCGUCGUCGGGUGGCCGGCCUGAGAGGGGGGGCGGCCACAUUGGGGCUGUGAGACGGCCCAGACUCCUACGGGGGGCAGCAGUGGGGAAUAUUGCGCAAUGGGCGCAAGCCUGAUGCAGCGACGCCGCGUGGGGGAUGACGGCCUUCUGGUUGUAAACUCCUUUCAGCCAUGACGAAGCCCGUGUGGGGACGGUAGUGGUAGAAGAAGCACCGGCUAACUACGU
RNAcentral lists this ribosomal RNA (468 nucleotides) under uncultured bacterium. Its description in RNAcentral is "partial 16S ribosomal RNA". It matches the Rfam family "Bacterial small subunit ribosomal RNA", at positions 28 to 506 of the family's 1533-position model. The record is from RNAcentral.